UAUUCGUUACUGCCCUGUGACCUUUUUUUUCUCCUCAUGUUACCGUACCGUAUUUGUUUUCCAUCGUUACUGUGUUGUAUCCUACCUUUCCUUUACGCCCCGUCAUUUUAUUUUACCUAUGGCAGCCCAUUUGGUAACCCCUGCAUCCUUCACGAAUAUUUUUCCUAACCGCGCCGAUUUCGCUUUGUUGUAUUAUUUCGUUCUGAGUUCUGUCGCCACCGCCGCCGUGUGAGGUUGUGUACCGCCAGUGUGCCAUCUGCUGCCACCACCGCCACCAAUAUAAUUGAAGUGCUCAUAUAUUCAAGUUUUUUAAAGUCAAACCAGAGAGCCGGCCCUAUUUAUUUCAUUUUGAUUUUCAACAUAGUCCUCCGGGCCGGAUGACUUUUUGAUUUCUGUUAAAUUUGCUUCUUUGAUGAUUUGCUGAUUGAUUUUGACUGAUCAAGACUGAGAUUGACUUGUGAAUUGUGUAUAUCAAGAUGGAGAGUGAGGCACAGCUUAAACAGAAAAGGACUGUGGCUCGAGGUAAGGCAACCAGACUGAUGAAAGAGCUUGCCGAAUGUGAUAAUUCUCAAGAGGACGACCUUGCCUUGGCAAUACACCACCUUGAGCAGCACGUUGAUCUGAUGACCGAGAUCCAGGUGACGACGACGUGCUGACGCCCGCGCACCUGUUGUUCGGGGUCACGUCCAUCCGUGGCGUGCUCUCUCCGUCUGGCCACGAGCUGGACAGCCUGAGUCGGCGCUGGCGGCACCAGCGGCUGGUCAGCGAGCACCUGGUUCAGCGAUGGACCAAAGAGUACCUGCAGACUCUACGCACGUGGAGCUUCUCUCGGCGCGGCCGUCCGGUUCGGCUGCCCGAGGUUGGAGAGAUUGUGCUGGUGCACGCGGAAGGUCCGCGUGGUCGCUGGCCUCUGGCGCGCGUGGUGUCCCUCCUGUCUGGAGCGGACGGCCGCGCUCGCGCGGCGAGUAUCGUGCUAAGAGGGCGACUUACCCGCCGCCCGAUCAACAAACUGUUGAGACUAGAGGCGUCGGAGUGAAGUGAGCGUCGGCGAGGCGAGUGCCGAAAAAGUGACUGUGUGCCGAGUGAGGAGAGACUUUUCGAAGUGACGGCUCACUUCGAAAGUGGGGAGUAUGUCGCUAUUCGUUACUGCCCUGUGACCUUUUUUUCUCCUCAUGUUACCGUACCGUAUUUGUUUUCCAUCGUUACUGUGUUGUAUCCUACCUUUCCUUUACGCCCCGUCAUUUUAUUUUACCUAUGGCAGCCCAUUUGGUAACCCCUGCAUCCUUCACGAAUAUUUUUCCUAACCGCGCCGAUUUCGCUUUGUUGUAUUAUUUCGUUCUGAGUUCUGUCGCCACCGCCGCCGUGUGAGGUUGUGUACCGCCAGUGUGCCAUCUGCUGCCACCACCGCCACCAAUAUAAUUGAAGUGCUCAUAUA
RNAcentral lists this unclassified non-coding RNA (1435 nucleotides) under Amphibalanus amphitrite. RNAcentral's name for it is "uncharacterized LOC122393848, transcript variant X2". Lineage: Eukaryota; Metazoa; Arthropoda; Thecostraca; Balanomorpha; Balanidae. The record is from RNAcentral.